AUGAGCAUAUAUAUUCAGUUUAUGCACCGGAACGAGAAUAUGUAUUCAGUUUCUGCACUGAAUAUGGGCGUAUAUUCAGUUUUUUCACUGAAUAUGAGUAGGUGUUCAUUCUUUUUUCAGUUUAAACAGACUGUGAACGGUUCAAUUUUUGCACUGAGUAUGGUCUGUUCUUUCACCUAUAGAGCAUAUUUUCACACACAGGAACGGAGUGUAAAGGUUCUGUUUUUUCCACAUAUAUAUUCAGUUAAAACAGAGUGUGAAUGUUCAGUUAUUUGCCACUGUGGUAAUUUCUUCCAUCAAAUACCUAGGGGUUAUACCGGGCAUGGUGUCAAAAUGUUUGCUCCAACACGAACGAAUUUAACCGGGGGAUCGUGUUGUCCAGAAAACCCUUCCUUUUUCCUUUCAUGCCAUAUUGGAGAGAAUGAUGCUGGAAAUAAAACCCCCUUUCCAGCAUCAUCUUUCUUAUAA
This 468-nucleotide ribosomal RNA is filed under the name Triticum aestivum (bread wheat). RNAcentral's name for it is "partial small subunit ribosomal RNA". The record is from RNAcentral. Lineage: Eukaryota; Viridiplantae; Streptophyta; Magnoliopsida; Poales; Poaceae.